AGUGAACGCUGGCGGUAGGCCUAACACAUGCAAGUCGAACGGCAGCACAGUAAGAGCUUGCUCUUACGGGUGGCGAGUGGUGGACGGGUGAGGAAUACAUCGGAAUCUACUUUUUCGUGGGGGAUAACGUAGGUAAACUUACGCUAAUACCGCAUACGACCUACGGUUGAAAGCAGGGGAUCUUCGGACCUUGCGCGAUUGAAUGAGCCGAUGUCGGAUUAGCUAGUUGGCGGGGUAAAGGCCCACCAAGGCGACGAUCCGUAGCUGGUCUGAGAGGAUGAUCGGCCACACUGGAACUGAGACACGGUCCAGACUCCUACGGGAGGCAGCAGUGGGGAAUAUUGGACAAUGGGCGCAAGCCUGAUCCAGCCAUACCGCGUGGGUGAAGAAGGCCUUCGGGUUGUAAAGCCCUUUUGUUGGGAAAGAAAAGCAGCAGGUUAAUACCCCGCUGUUCUGACGGUACCCAAAGAAUAAGCACCGGCUAACUUCGUG
RNAcentral lists this ribosomal RNA (492 nucleotides) under uncultured bacterium. RNAcentral describes it as "partial 16S ribosomal RNA". It matches the Rfam family "Bacterial small subunit ribosomal RNA", at positions 29 to 507 of the family's 1533-position model. The record is from RNAcentral.